AAAAAAUCCCUACCAGAAAACAAAAAAGAUCAAUUGGGCCUGAUCUUGAAUAACCCGUAAUUAACCACCCGUCAAACCCGUACCCGUCAGACCCGAACCCGUUAGAUCCGAGGCCCAAAUAUGGUUCGGUGUGGGCUGUCUUUCUCCACCCGUGGAUUGGGCUGGUUUGACGUUUUGGGCCCAUACCGACCCAAACCGACCCGUUGUCCACCCCUA
RNAcentral lists this long non-coding RNA (216 nucleotides) under Trifolium pratense (red clover). RNAcentral's name for it is "long non-coding RNA (TPRA_LNC002173)". Lineage: Eukaryota; Viridiplantae; Streptophyta; Magnoliopsida; Fabales; Fabaceae. The record is from RNAcentral.